AUCAUAGCGGCGUUUCAUUACCAAGUUCAUCAACAGUUGCCCCCAUCACCGCCCCGAUUUCGGCGGCGGUGGGGGACCGCGUUGCUCUGGAGGCGGCGCCUGGCCUGUGGCGUCUCUCCACGCCGCUCGCCGUCGGUGUUCUAUUCGAGAGCUUGCCUCCUCGCCGUCGUGUCCUUGCGGCGCGAAACAGCUUCCCCCCCGCCCUCUUUUCCUCUCGUGAUUUCGACUGUUACUGUUGCAACGGGAGAGGAUGGUGUGGUGGUGGGCCAUAGAAGUGGGCCCACAUCCCGCAUCUUGUCGUUGACCUUGCCGCCGUUGUGGCCAGUCGGCCAUGGUUCGGUGAGCCGGCGGCGCGGCGCGACGCGGCGCCUCCGCCCUCCCCUCGCUGGUGACCUGCUCGUGCGGCGGGCAAGAUUCCUCUCGGCCACAGAUCCGAUUGGUAUCGCCGGGACCCCUCUUCCGGGGCCAUCCCCCCCUUCGCGAACAUGCGCCAGCCGGGCUCCUCGACCUCGGGCACGAUCUGGUCGCCUGGUCGCCAUCGCUGAGGUCGAUGUACGCAGGCAUGUCUGUGUGUUAGGCAUUCCGGGUUUAGAGGGCAGCAUCCUCGAUGUGCUUUGAGGUCCUGUUCAUUGAGUUCUACCUACUUCAUUGUUCUGAAUUUGUGUGGAUAUCUAUUGGAUGGAGGGCAGUUGACUUUUAAGAACACAGGAGCCAUCCAUUCUGAUUUUAAAGGUCCAUUCAACCUGUCAAAGAGCAGCAAAAGAAAUGCCUCAGAGGCUUGUGACAGAUACAACUUUGCCAGGAGAUCUCGCUCUGUCUGAUGCGCACACCCUGCUAUGGUGUAUCAGCAUCUGCUACGCGCUUGGCCCAUGCAUUCUAUUGGCAAUGGUUAAUUGUUGUAUGGCGACAAGUGAUGCUUAGAAGAAUUUCAUAUGAUGGUAUGGAUCUCCUGCAUAUUGAGGAAUCGGGCUAUGCUUGCCAGGGUCUGUAUUUUUGUAUAUGUGGAGACUGGCAAUUAUGUAUUUUUUUGCUUCGGCCAUGGAGAAUCUGCAGGCGAUGGUGCCAGACGCAGCAAACUAUUCGUCGCCCUCGGCGUACCAGGUCCUUGUGCGCAGGGCGCAGAGUAUACUCUCCCGAAUUGUUUUUUCACCUUGGAUUUUGCAUUUCAACUCAAUAUUCUCUUGAUUGUCUGGAUUUGGUUGUGUGUUGAUUUCUCGCAGCACUGAGUUACUCCAAAAUGUGCCAUGUAGCUACCAUCUGAAAUAACUAAACUGCAAUUAGAUGUAUUCACAAAAACUUGUCAGGGUUUGAUGGGAUAAUUUGUUAUGUCGUGUGAAAACUCAUACCAGUUGGUUGAUUGUACAAUAGCUCGAAGAAGACUUACCAAUUAUGUGGGGCAGUAGUAACCUCUGUAUCUGGAAUUUCUUAGCUUAUCAUGUAUUUCUAGAGAAGGAUAUACAGAUAUAAAGAGCAUCACAUGCAAUUUCCUUUCCAAAUGACGCAGCUAAAUAGUUAAUGAUUACCAAGCCCCAUGUACCAGGCGGAUUUAAGUUUAUGAGGUAUAAAUCUGACUUCAGAAAUCAUAGUUCAGUCAGUGUGUUGUACGAUGAAGUAAAAGUA
RNA transcript from Oryza brachyantha (malo sina), 1620 nucleotides. RefSeq lists it as uncharacterized. Lineage: Eukaryota; Viridiplantae; Streptophyta; Magnoliopsida; Poales; Poaceae. The transcript has 5 exons. The record is from RefSeq and is a predicted model, not a curated record.